UAUUAGCUUGGUGCAAAAGUAAUUGUGGUUUUUGCCUUUUAAAAGCAACGGCAAAGACCACAAUUACUUUUUCACCAGCCUCAUA
RNAcentral lists this microRNA precursor (85 nucleotides) under Colobus angolensis palliatus. RNAcentral describes it as "miRNA (ENSCANG00000008989.1)". The record is from RNAcentral. Lineage: Eukaryota; Metazoa; Chordata; Mammalia; Primates; Cercopithecidae.